UCUGCUUUUUUGACCUAGAAAUUUUUUCUUCUACCACAAACACUAGAGAAAGAUAAACAACACAAAUCGCAUGUGAAGUGGAAGUGAUGAUGGUAGAACCCGGCAAAAUACUGCUUGGGCACAAGAUGGACAUGGCGGCAGUGUUCUAUGACAUGUUGUGAGAGAGUAAGUCUAUGGUUGAGGAAAUCGUGGCUAAGAUGCUUGCCAUCAAGAAAGAAGCCCAACCAAAAACACGGCUCCGGGAAAUUCAUCACUCAAAUUCUCGUUAAUGUCAUAACCCUCCAACAGAUGUAAUUAUUUUCGGCCUGCACAACAAUGGAGAUUUAAUAAUGACAGGGGCAUAGGAGGUACAAGUGUAAGGGAAUUUCUUUGAUUUGCCGUGUUAAACAAAUUGCACAAUUAAUUCAUUAUAUUUUACUUGUUGAAAUGAUGAACUAGAGCAUAAGCACAGGAAAUGUGGGAUGAGAUCAGUUUGUGUGAAGGUAAUUUACUUCCCUAAUUUAAGCUCUGGUUUUGUGCAUAUGCACAGGAGUGUGCUUAAUUGCUGAUCUGUGUAACUUCUAAUUUGAACUUUGUAUCUCCUAUUUGUUCUAUCAAAUUCAUUGAUGCCAUCUUUGCUUUUCCUUCUCUUUUUAUUUUUUCGCUGGGUGGUUCUUAGAAGGAUACAAGCUCCUUAAUGAUGAUUAUUUUGAUUAGAUUAAGAAAAUUUGUAUUCAUGCGUUUCAUUUUUGAGCAGGAGUACAAAUAUUAUGUGAAUUGAAAGAGAAGCAGAUGGUGGUUUAAUUCUUUGUAAAUAGCCAUCUCUCACUACAUUAAGUAAUACUAAUUUUUUACCAUACUUAUUCGUUAUUUGAUAAUUUGAUUUUUGAAAAUUUGUUUUCCUCUGCUCUAUUCAGGUGAUGAAUUUCCGGUUUUCGAAUUUUCAGGAAUUCUUUUUCAUAUUCCAUGCAGAAGUUUUAAGGCAUUUUAUUUGUAAAAAAUGUGCAGGAAACAAAAUUAAGUCAUUUAUGGAUGUCUGGCUUCUUGGUGAUGGAUUUGGAGCCACUAAUGGAAUGAAGAGAAAUAAUCUCAUUUGGGUUGUUUCAACAAUGCAAGUUCAAGUGGAUUGAUCAUUAUCCGAUCUGGUAUUGAACUACACUAUAUUAACAUAUAUAUUCAAAUGACACUAGCACUCAAUUUCUGAGGAAUGUGUGUAAUAGAAAAUGAAGUGGGCAUUCUUAUUUUUAACCUAAAAAAGAUUAAAUUUGGACAUUUGUUUCAUAACAAUGUUGCAUGUGUCAACCGGGGUGAAGUAAUGGAGAUGGACUCAUGGGUUAGAGGAAGGUUACACGCUUGGUCCUGGGGUAAGCAAUGGACUGGUAAGAAAGCUUGUGUUUUGCUUUAUUUUCUCAAACUCAAACAAGAUAAAAGGGCCGAAAGAUUUACAUCAUUAGCGGCAAAAGUUCUGUUGAAUGCUACGGCUGAAUCUUACAAAUAAUAAGAAACUUCUGUGGAUAGAAACUGUUUAAUGCAUUAUGUUAUCAGUUCUUUUGUAAUAGUUUGAGCGUACAAACUAAGAAAAUAUGAAUUCUUGCUCUCUCGUUUAUUCUUUAUUGGAUGAAGAUAUUAGAAAUUA
Olea europaea var. sylvestris is the source of this 1615-nucleotide long non-coding RNA. RefSeq lists it as uncharacterized. The transcript is spliced from 2 exons. The record is from RefSeq and is a predicted model, not a curated record. NCBI's taxonomy places the organism in Eukaryota, Viridiplantae, Streptophyta, Magnoliopsida, Lamiales, Oleaceae.